Pelmatolapia mariae (spotted tilapia) is the source of this 289-nucleotide long non-coding RNA. RefSeq lists it as uncharacterized. The record is from RefSeq and is a predicted model, not a curated record. NCBI's taxonomy places the organism in Eukaryota, Metazoa, Chordata, Actinopteri, Cichliformes, Cichlidae. The transcript has 3 exons.
CAAGAUCUAACUGGGACCUCUGGUGACCAGUGGAAACCAGAGAAAGCGGCGCUGGCUCUGCAGCUGCUGUGUGCGUGUCGGCGAUGCCUCGAGUUAAACGGAGACUGCAGACCGAUAAUCGGCUUAAUACAGCAGCUGGUUCCAGCCUGUCAGGAGUUGCUGUUGGAUGAGCUGAUGAUGGGCGUGGCCUUGCUCUUGUUGGAAGCCCCUUCAGAUCAGCUGACCAGCCUUCUCAGACUUGCACUGAGUUUGGUCCCCGAACAAGCGGAGGCUUCGCCCUGGUUGAGUC